GUAGUUAGCCGGUGCUUUUUCUGCAGGUACCGUCACUUUCGCUUCUUCCCUACUAAAAGAGGUUUACAACCCGAAGGCCUUCUUCCUUCACGCGGCAUUGCUGGGUCAGGGUUUCCCCCAUUGCCCAAUAUUCCCCCCUGCUGCCUCCCGUAGGAGUCUGGACCGUUUCUCAGUUCCAGUGUGGCCGUUCAGCCUCUCAGCUCGGCUACCCAUCGUCGACUUGGUGGGCCGUUACCCCGCCAACUAUCUAAUGGGACGCGAACCCGUCUUACACCGGAUCUCUCCUUUGACCCCCAAGCCAUGUGGCCCUGUGGUCUUAUGCGGUAUUAGCAGCCGUUUCCAGCUGUUGUCCCCCUGUGUAAGGUUGGUUGUUCACGCGUUACUCACCCGUCCGCCGCUAAGUUCCCCCCGAAGGGUUCCCUCCGCUCGACUUGCAUGGGUUAGGCAUGCCGCCAGCGUUCGUCC
This 465-nucleotide ribosomal RNA is filed under the name uncultured bacterium. RNAcentral's name for it is "partial 16S ribosomal RNA". The record is from RNAcentral.